RNAcentral lists this ribosomal RNA (510 nucleotides) under uncultured bacterium. Its description in RNAcentral is "partial 16S ribosomal RNA". It matches the Rfam family "Bacterial small subunit ribosomal RNA", at positions 28 to 507 of the family's 1533-position model. The record is from RNAcentral.
GAUGAACGCUGGCGGCGUGCUUAACACAUGCAAGUCGAACGAAGAGCGAUGGAAGCUUGCUUCUAUCAAUCUUCGUGGCGAACGGGUGUGUAACGCGUAUUCAACCCGCCUUUCAGUGGGGGACAACAGUUGGAAACGACUGCUAAUACCGCAUACGAUCUAAUCUCGGCAUCGAGGAUAGAUAAAAGGUGGUCCCGACAUGUAUGCUAUCACUGAAGCGGGGGUUUGCAUCUGAUUAGCUAGUUGGUGAGGUAACGGCCGACCAAGGGGAAGAUCAGUAGGCGGUCGGAGGAGAUGGACGGGCACAAUGGGACUGAGACACCGAUCAGGAUUCUAACGGAGGGAGAAGUGGGGAAUCUUCCGGAAUGGAAGGAAGUCUGACGGAGCCACGCCGCGGUAGUGAUGGCGGCCUUCCGGUUGUUAAGCUCUGUUUAUCAGGACGAAAGGACUUCUUGCGAAAAGAGAGAAGGAUUGACGGUACCGGAAUAGAAAGCCACGGCUAACUACGUG